AACGAACGCUGGCGGCAUGCCUAACACAUGCAAGUCGAACGAGACCUUCGGGUCUAGUGGCGCACGGGUGCGUAACGCGUGGGAACCUGCCCUUAGGUUCGGAAUAACUCCCCGAAAGGGGUGCUAAUACCGGAUAAUGUCUUCGGGCCAAAGAUUUAUCGCCUUUGGAUGGGCCCGCGUUGGAUUAGCUAGUUGGUAGGGUAAAAGCCUACCAAGGCGACGAUCCAUAGCUGGUCUGAGAGGAUGAUCAGCCACACUGGGACUGAGACACGGCCCAGACUCCUACGGGAGGCAGCAGUGGGGAAUAUUGGACAAUGGGCGAAAGCCUGAUCCAGCAAUGCCGCGUGAGUGAUGAAGGCCUUAGGGUUGUAAAGCUCUUUUACCCGGGAUGAUAAUGACAGGACCGGGAGAAUAAGCGCCGGCUAACUCCGU
Molecule: ribosomal RNA, 432 nt
Filed under: uncultured bacterium
Lineage: Bacteria
Description: partial 16S ribosomal RNA
Rfam family: Bacterial small subunit ribosomal RNA
Source: RNAcentral